Brassica rapa (field mustard) is the source of this 2879-nucleotide RNA transcript. It is a transcript of the gene named cytochrome P450 708A2, with no coding region annotated. The record is from RefSeq and is a predicted model, not a curated record. NCBI's taxonomy places the organism in Eukaryota, Viridiplantae, Streptophyta, Magnoliopsida, Brassicales, Brassicaceae.
AAUAAGUAAUUAACUAUGUCUAUGUUAGAUUUUUUUUUGGUGUAAGUCUAUGUUAGAUUUUAAAUAUUACCAAUUGAUAUAGGUUGUCAUCUGGUAAAACUAUAAUGUUUUACGGUAUCAAAUUACUUUCAUAAAGUUAGGCGGGUUUUUAAUACCUUGUGACAUUCUUCUAUCCACGUAAGUAAAUUUAGUUUUUCAUUUUAGGAUUCAUCAUCUAUAUAUAUGACCCACCAAUGCAUUGUUCAAGGCACAACAACAUGAGCUUGCUGUGGAUCACAGGAUUGUGUGUUACAGCCCUAGUGGUUGUGAGGAUUAGCAAUUGGUGGUACCGAUGGUCAAACCCCAAGUCUAAUGGCAAGUUACCUCCGGGAUCAAUGGGCUUCCCCAUAAUCGGAGAGACGUUCGAUUUUUUUAAGCCUCAUCGAUUCUACGAGAUCUCCCCGUUUCUCAAGAAGAAGAUGUUAAGGUAUGGACCUUUGUUUCGGACUAGCAUUCUUGGUGUAAACACUGUGAUUUCUACAGAUAUGGAUGUGAACUUGGAUAUUUUACGACACGAGAACGAGUAUUUUAAUUUAAGUUAUCCAGAUGGUUUAGUGAAGCCAUUGGGAAAAGAAAGCAUGUUCUUGAAGACGGGAAACAUCCACAAGCACAUCAAAAAAAUCUGUAUGCGUCUUUUGGGCUCCGAGAAUUUGAAGCGGAAGAUAAUAAAAGAUAUGGAUCACGUGACAUGCGAGCAUCUUAGUUUGAAAGUUGGCCAGGGAAGAUUCGACCUCAGGGACCUAGCUUCAAGUUUGAUAACAGCACACUUGACACCAAAAGUGAUAAGUGGUCUCAAACCAGAGACUCAAUCAAUGCUUAUGGAAAGCUUCAAAGCCUUCAGUUUUGAUUGGUUUCGGACAUCCUACAUUCUCUCUGCGGGGAGGGGUCUCUACAACACCCUUUGGGCAUGCAGACAGGGGAUGAAGUUGAUAAAGGAUGUUUACACGAGGAGAAUAACGUCAAGAGAGAAGUACAAUGACUUCCUUGAGACAGCAUUAGAAGAGUCAGAGAAAGAAGGAAACUCAGUGAACGAAGAUGUGAUUGUAAGCCUCAUCUUCACUCUUUCCGGUAUCACUCAAGAUACCACCUCUAAGGCCAUUUGCAUGGUUGUGAAAUUCGUAUCGGAAAACCCAAAAGUUCUUGUAGAGUUGAAGAGAGAGCAUGAGGCAAUCCUUGCGAACAGAGAAGAUAAAGAAGGCGGAGUUACUUGGGAAGAAUUCAGACACAAGAUGAUUUUCACCAACAUGGUUAUACAUGAGUCGCUUCGAAUGACAAAUCUGGCCCCUAUGAUGUUUAGAAAAGUGGUGAAAGAUGUGGAAAUAAAAGGCAAGUAGUACUGUACUAGUUUUACUAUUAUAAUUAACAAACAAAAAAUAGUGUACUAAUAAUAAUAAAAUAAUGUGGUACUAGUAAUAAAAUUGUAUACAAAAAGCUGGACUUGAUGAUUAGUUGUUAUUUGGCUUAUACUUUUUAUUUAUUUCAUAUUCGCCUUGUAUGACAUUCAAGUUAAAAGUUUACAAAUUUUUUUACUUAGAAAACGAAUCAAAUAUCUAAAUAGUAUUAUAUUUUUAACUAGAGGUUCGCCGGCGCUACGCGCCGGGUUUGGGAUUUUUUUUCCUAUUUCAAAUUGGUAUCAUUGUGUUCUUUUAUUUUGUUGUUAUGAGUGAGUGUAGGCAGGGUUGUGUUUAUUUUAAAUAUUGGAUAUUUUGCAUGAUGUUUGUAUUUUUGUAUUACGGUAAGUACGGUGAGUUUGGCUUGUGACUUAAGUAAUUCGCAGAGAGUUAUUUGGAAACGUUAUAAACAGUCAUAUUUCAUUGCAUUGGAACUAAAUAUAUUUUUCUCCUGGAACGUGGACAACAUUCAAGGUUUUUUUUGCUUUGACUAACCUCCAAAAGAAAACCAAAUUUCACCUGCAAAUACCACUUACCUCCAGCCUCUACCUACUUCUAUCAGGUGCUUCUCGACAGAAAAAUGAAUAGAAAGGUUGUUGAAGCCCAUCAUCAUCGUGUAGAAAUCGGUGAGUAAAAAGAAGUGGAAACACUUUGAGCAGACCGUGUUCGCCGUUCCGUCUCCAGGAUGGCAGUUCAGCUCUGGCCACAUUUUCAGAACCGAGCUCUUAUAUAUAUAUCCCUCAUCUGAAGAAGUGGACGUUCCAGAGCCCUCUUGAAAUUUAUCAUUCAAUCCUCAACCAACGAAAUACCUUUCUCUUCCGUGAGGUUGUUGAUGAUUUUGAUUCCUUUGUCUGUCUCGCCGAUGGCCAUGAGGAGAACACCAAAAAUGUAUCUUCCUUGUAGGUGACCACUCUUUGAUGCUAUGUGGAUGUGAUGUAGACCUAGGACUUGAUUUUGAGAUUGGAAGAAUUGAAUCAUACCUUUUACAAAGUGAGCAUCAGUAUUGUCUGCUUUAAGGCAGGCGUCCAUUAAUGAUUCGUACUGAUUGGAUAGGAGUGGCUUCUUAACAAAAGGCGAGAGGUUGAGAUCUUUGGCAACAGAGGGGUUGUCUGGACGAAAGCUUAGGCUUCUGCAUGUCAGUACCGUAUUGAAGUAGUCGACGUGGGAGUUUUGGCCUACUUUCGAAACUAUUAGAAGACGCAUGUCUUCAGGCAUGGCCUCAAGGGUCUGCAUGAUACUUUGUUUCGGAUUGAUGGAACUCAUGAAAAUAUCCUCUGUCUGUGUAUUUUUGCUUUUGAUGUUAUAUUUUAGUUUUUUCUUUGCUUCUCUUUGUUUAUAUAGGGCCGAGGAUGGUGCUUCGUGUUUGUUUUCCUUAGAGAAAGUGGAUUGAUACGUUUUGCAAUUGUUUUCGUAUAUUUAUUGUAACCCAUAAUUGGACGGUUUAAUUUU